Molecule: ribosomal RNA, 492 nt
Filed under: uncultured bacterium
Lineage: Bacteria
Description: partial 16S ribosomal RNA
Rfam family: Bacterial small subunit ribosomal RNA
Source: RNAcentral
AGUGAACGCUGGCGGUAGGCCUAGCACAUGCAAGUCGAACGGCAGCACAGUAAGAGCUUGCUCUUACGGGUGGCGAGUGGCGGACGGGUGAGGAAUACAUCGGAUUCUACUUUUUCGUGGGUGAUAACGUAGGGAAAUUUACGCUAAUAACGCAUACGACCUACGGGUGAAAGCAGGCGAUCUUCUGACCUUGCGCGAUUGAAAGAGCCGAUGUCGGAGUAGCUAGUUGGCGGGGUAAAGGCCCACCCAGGCGACGAUGCGUAGCUGGUCUGACAGCGAGAUCACACAGACUGGAAGUGAGACACGGUCCAGACUCCUGCGGGGGGCCGCAGUGGGGAAUAUUGGACGAUGGGCGCAAGCCUGAUCCAGCCAUACCGCGUGAGUGAAGAAGGACUUCGGGUUGUAAAGUCCUUUUGUUGGGAAAGAAAAGCAGCAGGUUAAUACGCCGCUAUUCUGACGGUACCCAAAGAAUAAGCACCGGCUAACUUCGUG